RNAcentral lists this ribosomal RNA (632 nucleotides) under uncultured bacterium. Its description in RNAcentral is "bacterial SSU rRNA". It matches the Rfam family "Bacterial small subunit ribosomal RNA", at positions 232 to 883 of the family's 1533-position model. The record is from RNAcentral.
CGCGUCUGAUUAGAUAGUUGGUGGGGUAACGGCCUACCAAGUCGACGAUCAGUAGCCGGACUGAGAGGUUGAACGGCCACAUUGGGACUGAGAUACGGCCCAGACUCCUACGGGAGGCAGUAGUGGGGAAUAUUGCACAAUGGGGGGAACCCUGAUGCAGCGACGCCGCGUGAAGGAAGAAGUAUCUCGGUAUGUAAACUUCUAUCAGCAGGGAAGAAAAUGACGGUACCUGACUAAGAAGCCCCGGCUAACUCCGUGCCAGCAGCCGCGGUAAUACGGAGGAUGCGAGCGUUAUCCGGAUUUAUUGGGUUUAAAGGGUGCGCAGGCGGCGCGGUAAGUCAGCGGUAAAAGCCCGGGGCUCAACCCCGGCGAGCCGUUGAAACUGCCGUGCUAGAGUAAGGUCGAGGUAUGCGGAAUGCGCGGUGUAGCGGUGAAAUGCAUAGAUAUCGCGCAGAACUCCGAUUGCGAAGACAGCAUACCGGUCCUUUACUGACGCUCAGGCACGAAAGCGUGGGGAUCAAACAGGCUUAGAUACCCUGGUAGUCCACGCAGUAAACGAUGAAUACUGGGUGUUCGGAAUGUAGAUUCUGAGUGCCGAAGCGAAAGCGUUAAGUAUUCCACCUGGGGAGUAC